CCCGGCCGUUUCCCGCCCCCCACACCAACCCCGGGAGGUGCGGAAAUGGCUUCGCCUUGCUGGAAGUUCCUUCACUUGCCUUCUCCCCCGCGCCCCCCACUAAAAAUGGUUAACUGACUGCAAUACUCUUGUGGAAGGGAUGGAAAGGACUGGCAUGCUGUCUGCGGCUGCACACAAGGAGCUGGACUCAGGGGUCACGCAGCUGGUAAAACUCAGACCUGGCACCAGAGCUCGGGUUUUCCAGUUCCAAGCCCAGGGCCUUGCCCCCUUCACGAGGGUUUCCCAAACUCUAAGUGUUUUUUAAUGCAGGAGCCUUAUUUAUACUAUGGCUGGAAGACAGGGGUGAGAUGGGAAAUUUUAUACCCACAGAAGUUUACUUCCACGUGAGAGGUUUGGAAUAAGGAACUCUCACCUAUAAACAAUUUUCCCAUCUCUGGGAAACAAGAAGCACUGACUGCCAAGAUUGACUACUGAUGAAUUUUUUCUCGACAGACAGAACUGGUCAUGGGCUAACUACAAGGCUGCCAGGAAGAUAGUUUGUCCUAUUCCUGAAGUGCUCCUCUGCCACCCCUCCUCCUAGCAAACUUUCCUAUUCACUUCACAGUGCAGCCUAAGCAUCCUGUCCUUUGUGAAGUUUCCCAGCUACAUGGACACAGAUGACAGCCACUCUCUCCUCUGUGCUCCCAGAAGCUGUGGUUCACAGCCUGUGGUCUUUAACUUGCAACCUAAGCCUCAGUGGGUCAGCCUUUCUUUCAAUGGUAAAUGAAAUAUGGCUCAAACCAAGAUCCCUGUGGGACGGCUGACACAGCUACCCUGGGACCCCCUCAAAAGUCCUACGCUGUUCAUCAGGGCUUGACAUUCCUCCCAGUCACCUUGUUUCCAAGUUCGGCUGCCAUGAAUCCUCAACCUCCUCGUACCCGUGUUCCUUUGCUGUGUUGAUUAAGUUCCCUAAAAUAAAUGCACACAAAGUACCUAAGUCACUGGCAAAGCUCAGUGAAGGGUUGGGGUUAUGGAGGACAUAAACAUCA
Non-coding RNA from Kogia breviceps (pygmy sperm whale), 1028 nucleotides. The record is from RefSeq and is a predicted model, not a curated record. Lineage: Eukaryota; Metazoa; Chordata; Mammalia; Artiodactyla; Physeteridae.